CAGCUUCAUAUGGACAGCGCGGUGUCGUUGAAACCCGAGAACAACGCAGACAUUACCAUGAAAGGCCCUAAGCGGAAAGUGCCAGCCGAGCACGACACCGCACGGUACGACAGCUCGCAGCAUCCCCAGCAGCCCCCAACAUAACACAGCACAGCACAGCACGAUGGGCCUUAGUACAUGCAUAACCCAGCACAAGAAGCACAUCCUCCACAGGAUGGCAAAGGCUGGAGGAAAUCAGCGGCAAGUACAGCUUUUUGGGCUCCAUGAUGCCCUUUAGCGUUCCCUGAUCGGCUGGGCUCACUUCACUUCAAUGCAACCUGGGUGGAAAGCAUCUUGGGGGGCUUGCCAGCGCCUCACCAGGCUGAGGCACCAGCGGCGAGCCAGUGGUGUCGACGUAGCGUCUGCGCAAAAAUGGGGACACCACAGGGGAGGUAACGGGGGGAUUUAUGCGGCGCACGUGCUCGCUGGCCGAAACACCGAAGUCCCUGUGGCCACUCAGGGCGAUGCAGCUUUUGAACCCGGCCGAAUCGGAUAGCCCGUGAAAGGAGGCCACGUGCUUCAUGCAACUGAAGUUAUUCAGCGUGUUGCAUGGUCGCGAGCAGAAAUGCAAAAGGGGGUUAAUGUUUCCUUGCUAAGGAAAUUGGACGUGAUGUUUGCUUUGCUCCGUAAACCCCAGAACUUUGGCAUGUCGUCCCCGCGUUUAGGUUAUCUUCGAAUGGCAAAAAGAGCGUCAUUGUCUGCUGAUUACCUUUGGGGAGCAUGCACGUGCCGAUUGAAAGAACCGGUAUCGUAAAGUACAGCGCAAUCCAGCAAGUAAAAGACGAACCUGUCUACAUUUAUGAUUUGCACUCUAUUACGUUGCUUGCUCACGCUUUUCGAUUAGCUUGUUACGCUUUUGAGCUGGUCAGUCUUUUUGUAUUCCCGCAAAUGCUCGCUCGGUUGGGGCUUUCGGCUAGGGGCUCCUCCUCUGGGGGUGCCGGCAUGCUUCAACAUGUAAGCGUAUCGUAGCUUACCGCUUUUGCAUUUGCUGCCUAAGAUGGGUCCGUCCGUCGCCGAUUGCUAUUUGCUAUAGCACGUGCCGUUCGACACAGGCAAGGGGGUUGAUUACCAGUUAUCUUCCAUCGCCAGGAGAUGCGGCUCCACAAGUGGUGAGUAUAUCCCUAAGCACUCGGGCUGAAAGGGCAUCCCGGCCAAACGCGUACAUCAUGCCGCCCUCGUUUAGACGACGACGCACUGCUCGCUUACCUGGCUCGCUUACAUUGGUUCCAUUUAAAUUUCAGCACGUAACUUCAUAAAGAGACAGG
RNAcentral lists this long non-coding RNA (1304 nucleotides) under Volvox carteri. RNAcentral's name for it is "long non-coding RNA (VCAR_LNC003037)". The record is from RNAcentral. Lineage: Eukaryota; Viridiplantae; Chlorophyta; Chlorophyceae; Chlamydomonadales; Volvocaceae.